Molecule: ribosomal RNA, 435 nt
Filed under: uncultured Saccharofermentans sp.
Lineage: Bacteria; Bacillati; Bacillota; Clostridia; Eubacteriales; Oscillospiraceae
Description: bacterial SSU rRNA
Rfam family: Bacterial small subunit ribosomal RNA
Source: RNAcentral
ACGGAAGGCAGCAGUGGGGAAUAUUGGGCAAUGGGCGAAAGCCUGACCCAGCAACGCCGCGUGAAGGAUGACGGUCUUCGGAUUGUAAACUUCUUUAAUUGGGGAAGAAUAAAUGACCUACCCAAAGAAUAAGUCACGGCUAACUACGUGCCAGCAGCCGCGGUAAUACGUAGGUGACAAGCGUUAUCCGGAUUUACUGGGCGUAAAGGGCGUGUAGGCGGUUUGGCAAGUCAGAAGUGAAAUUCCCGAGCUCAACUCGGGCGCUGCUUCUGAAACUGCUAGACUUGAGUGCUGGAGGGGAUAGCGGAAUUCCUAGUGGAGCGGUAAAAUGCGCAGAUAUUAGGAGGAACACCAGUGGCGAAGGCGGCUUACUGGACUGUAACUGACGUUGAGGCUCGAAAGCGUGGGGAGCAAACAGGAUUAGAUACCCUGGUA